Molecule: long non-coding RNA, 2059 nt
Organism: Oncorhynchus keta (chum salmon)
Lineage: Eukaryota; Metazoa; Chordata; Actinopteri; Salmoniformes; Salmonidae
Exons: 2
Source: RefSeq, a predicted model, not a curated record
UCUCUAAAUUAAAGAAACAAGAUAAUCAUUCCGUCUGCUUUGCUUAAAUAAGGAAUUUGACGUAUAGCAUUUACUUUUUUGUUGUUGAAAGUUGAGUACUUUUUCCACCACUGAACUCAAGUACAUGUAAAAUCAGGUACUUUUAGACUUGAACUCUAAUAGUAUUUUACUGGGUACUUACCUAUUAAAGUAUCUUUACUUUUACUCAAGUAUGACAAUUGAGUACUUUUCCCACCACUUGCUCUCAGUCUUGCAUUUGAAAAUGUUUUCACUGUACUCAGGCAGAAAAUGAAAGAAAGAUGUUGUGCCUGUGUCACCAGAUUCAGUUACCGAAGCAGUGAGGAUGAGACAAUAACAGUGAUGUGGGUACAUGUUUAAAGUCCUAGAUGCACGUUUUGUUGUAUAUUUUAUUUAAUGUUCUGAGAGUAUGAUUGUUUUCAUUUUAUUACAGGAGCAGCUGCUUUCUUGUCCAGGUAUUUCAUUUAUUGAUGUCUCUUUGUGAGAUUUCCUGGAUAUAAAUGGAUAGAAACUGUCAUAACAUGUUCCAUCAGCCUUGAUACAUACUCACUUGCUGUUUAUAGUUAUUUUUGCUCAAAUGACACAAGGUCAGGUGAUUUUCAGAUGAUCACAUCUGGAUUAUUCAAAUUCAACAUCCAAUUUCCGUUUUUCUUUGAAUAAAAUUAAACAUGUUUUUAAACUAAUCUGUUGGUAUAAUUGGGAAUAGAUUUUAUAUAUUUAUAUUCUAGUUCAGUUUCAUUGAAAGACCACAUAAUGAACCCAUAUUGUUUUAUGCACUUCUGAUUAAUACACAAUCUGUAGUAUAAAUGAUUUGUUGUCAGGCACAUUCAUCAACUGAUUGUCCUGACACAUUUUCAAACGUAAUAAUCUACUGCAGGGUUCAUCAACUAGGUUUGGCCUCGGUCCAAAUUGUUUCUGAGCUAAUAGUCGGCGGGCCAGAACAUAAUUAGUAAUUCGCACACAAUGAAUUGGCCUACACUACAAAUUAAACAAAAUGUUAAACACAUCGGAUUAGUACAUAUAAAUAAACUCAGUGACAAUAAUAUAAUAAUUUCGAUCUGAAUACGGUCAUAAAAGCUCCAUGUCUCUAUUCAAUUAUUAUCUUUGUCUAUUUCUCUGUGCAUUGAUUGGUGGGGAAAACAGGUAUACGUAGGCUACACCAUUAUUUUUAACGUCAACAUUCGUUCAGAACAAUUAGAUUGAUAGCAGGGGAAAAUGUGCUCUCAAAAAGUAUCAAAAGAAAGGUGGACAAUGAACAUCGAAGUUUCAGGGAAGGAUGUACAGAGAUAUGUGUUCAUAUUACCGUAUUUUCCCAAUGCCAAGCCAGUGUCUUAUUUACAAUGAAAAUGACACCGUUUGCGAAUAAUUAAAUAUCAGACGUCAUUAUGAAUCUAAACAUGGAACUUUAAAAGUGGCCUCCCGCUCCAGACAGAAGCGUUAACUGCAAGCUACACACAUGGCUUUUUUUGGCUGACCAAUUCUGUCACUUAAAAAUGGGUUAAAUCUGCAGUUAAUAGGAAGAGGGGAAAGCUUGAGGCCUUUACUAGGAAGCUUGAGUUGUUUGAUUUUCAUUUGUUAGGCUAUUGCACUUAAACACAAUGAAGAACGCCAGGCAGAGGGACCAGACAACUUCUCCACCAUAUUUGAUGACUACAGCAUGCCCAAGGAUAUCAUUGCGUUUGAACAAGCUAUAACGAUACAGAUGUCACGCCCUGAUCUGUUUCACAUGUUCCUGUGAUUGUCUCCACCCCCUCCAGGUGUCACUUAUUUUCCCCAGUGUAUUUAACCCGGUGUUCCCUGUCUCUCUGUGUCAGUUCGUCUUGUAUGUUAGUCAAGUUAACAGUGUGGUUUUCACAUACUCCUGUGCUAUUCUCUUUUUAUAGUUCUCCCGGUUCUGACUCUGGACUACUUUCCUGCCUGCCUGAUCAUCCUGCCUGAUCAUCAGUACCUAUUGGAUUCUGAUCUGGUUUUGACCUUUUUCCUGUCCUUGACUUUUCUCUUGCCUACCCCUUUGGAUAAAUAAACAUUCUAAGACUCCUAC